AGUGAACGCUGGCGGUAGGCCUAACACAUGCAAGUCGAACGGCAGCACAGUAAUAGCUUGCUCUUACGGGUGGCGAGUGGCGGACGGGUGAGGAAUACAUCGGAAUCUACUUUUUCGUGGGGGUUAACGUAGGUAAUCUUACUCUACUACCGCAUACGCCCUACGGGUGAAAGCAGUGGAUCUUCGGACCUUUCGCGUUUUAUUGCGCCGAUGUCGGAUUAGCUAGUUGGCGGGGUAAAGGCCCACCAAGGCGACGAUCCGUAGCUGGUCUGAGAGGAUGAUCAGCCACACUGGAACUGAGACACGGACCAGACACCUACGGGAGGCAGCAGUGGGGAAUAUUGGACAAUGGGCGCAAGCCUGAUCCAGCAAUACCGCGUGGGUGAAGAAGGACUUCGGGUUGUAAAGCCCUUUUGUUGGGAAAGAAAAGCAGCAGGUUAAUACCCCGCUGUUAUGACGGUAACCAAAGAAUAAGCACCGGCUAACUUCGUG
This 492-nucleotide ribosomal RNA is filed under the name uncultured bacterium. Its description in RNAcentral is "partial 16S ribosomal RNA". It matches the Rfam family "Bacterial small subunit ribosomal RNA", at positions 29 to 507 of the family's 1533-position model. The record is from RNAcentral.